GAUGAACGCUGGCGGCGUGCUUAACACAUGCAAGUCGAACGAAGCACUUAAGAUUGCUUCUUCGGAUGACGUCUUUUGUGACUUAGUGGCGGACGGGUGAGUAACGCGUGGGUAACCUGCCUCACACAGGGGGAUAACAGUUAGAAAUGACUGCUAAUACCGCAUAACCCGAUAGGAUCGCAUGAUCCAGACGGAAAAGAUUUAUCGGUGUGAGAUGGACCCGCGUCUGAUUAGCUAGUUGGUGAGGUAACGGCCCACCAAGGCGACGAUCAGUAGCCGGCCUGAGAGGGUGAACGGCCACAUUGGGACUGAGACACGGCCCAAACUCCUACGGGAGGCAGCAGUGGGGAAUAUUGCACAAUGGGGGAAACCCUGAUGCAGCGACGCCGCGUGAGUGAAGAAGUAUUUCGGGAUGUAAAGCUCUAUCAGCAGGGAAGAAAAUGACGGUACCUGACUAAGAAGCCCCGGCUAACUACGUG
RNAcentral lists this ribosomal RNA (479 nucleotides) under uncultured bacterium. Its description in RNAcentral is "partial 16S ribosomal RNA". It matches the Rfam family "Bacterial small subunit ribosomal RNA", at positions 28 to 507 of the family's 1533-position model. The record is from RNAcentral.